RNAcentral lists this long non-coding RNA (7920 nucleotides) under Olea europaea subsp. europaea. The record is from RNAcentral. Lineage: Eukaryota; Viridiplantae; Streptophyta; Magnoliopsida; Lamiales; Oleaceae.
UGUAAAACCUCUCCCAAACCCUAAUUCGAUCCUCGAACAAACUGCAUCUGCAAUUAACAAUGUCUUCUCGCUAUAGAACGCUCUCCAGACCCGCGGUUAAUCUUCUCAAGUCCGCAAUUUCAACGCCUUCAUUGAGUCCCGCAUCUAUCCAAUCCUCACGCUCAUCUCCAUCUCUUUUCUCAAGGUUGUUCCCCCCACCCCGCACCCCCAUCCAAAACACUAAAUACAUUCCUUAACAAAGCCAUUUGUUAUUUUUGAAUCAAGAUUCAGUUUUGAACAUUCAUUUGUUAUCUCAUGUGGGUUUUGUUUAAAAUGGGUUUCUUGACCUUUUUUAUUUUUUAUUUUUCAAAACCGUAAAAACAAUUCCUCCUCGAUUGAAUGCCGUUCCGUUUUGUAUUCUUAACACAAGAUUCGAUUUUGAAUUGUAAUUUUCAGGGUCGAAAUGCUAAAUAUUUAAGACUUUUAUAUUCUUGAAAUUUUACUUUUGAAUUUUAGGCCAUUAGCUCAGAUUGAUGCAUUUCAGUCUCUACUACCUCUCCACACAGCUGUCUCCUCUGCUCGGCUUACCUCUUGCCUUGGGGCCGACACCAAAGGCCGCCGGUCGCUAUCUCAGGGUAUGCUCUGCAGUGCCAACCAUGGAGUUUGAUAAAUUUUAUAAUGUUUCUGUAAGCAUACUACUUUUAUCUUUAAUAGUUCCUUCCAAGUUGGUAGAUUUCUGUGAUUCUUUUGUUUUUUCAUUUAUGAGUUACUGAGUAAAUUAUCGUGUUCCUUUGUUUACAUGUACAUUAUGUGGGAUUGAUACAGGUGAUCAUGUUUGGCUAUGCUCAAUAAUAAGUCUCUAGAAAGGAAGUCUAUAAAACUAAGUGUUGUUAAUUAUGUUUAGCAAAAGAAGUAAGUUUGACUUACUUUUAAUGAGCCAGAAUGUAUUUGAUAGGUAAUUUCUAGUUUAACUAAAAUGAAACAUGGAUAGAGAGAGAGAGAGAGUUAUGGCAUGUGAUGACAUGCAUGAGGAGAGAUGUGGAGAGUAAGUGGUUAAUAUACAUCAUUCCAGAAUCCAUAAUGGAAAAGCUCGUUGUGUGGAUGUUGUACGCUCUUUAUUCUGCACUGUGCACAGUGCGUCUCUGGUUGCAAUUGUGACCUAUCAUCAAGCUCUUGUGGUAUAUUUUGACUCCUUGCUUGUCAUGAGUGUUGGUUGGGGUUGCUUAAGUUGUUGCCUAUAAGGGUCGCCUAUGACAUGUAUGAUCCAAUACGAUAAUUUUGUUGAAAGUUUUAACUUUAUAGCAGUUUGGCAACUUGUGCUAUAGAUUCUAGAUAUCUGUAUCGUCAAACUAUCUUUUUCAAAUGAAAUGUCUCGGUUUAACGAAAGCAAUCAAUAAGGCGAGAUUAUAACGUCUUUUUUUUCCCCAUUCAGAUGAUUUGAGGUUUUUAGGUAAAUAAUAAUUUGGGUGUAAAAUGUAGAUGCUACAUGAUGGAAGGAAAAUUGGUAAUUAUGCCGGGAGCUGGCUUUCAUUGGAAGUUUAGGUUUUGGGUGUAGGUAUUCUUUUAUUUUCUCGGACUAUUUUAUAUUUCAGUUCUUUUAACUCAUGUUUUAAACUUGUUUUUUGUUGAAAUUGUAAUUUUGGAGUGUAGGGUUGUGAUGUAGCCUAUUGAGGUCACAGUUCUCUAGCAUCGGUUGAGUUUCAAAUCAAAUCAUAAAACCCAACGGCCAAUAUACAUUUAUUAAUUUGUAAACUUCCGAGCAAGUGACGAAUUUGAUGUUUCUAUGGGUAAUUUUGCCCAAAUAGUGCAAAAGCGAGCUAUUAUCUUCUUUCUCUGCUUCCUCCUCCUCCCCUCCAUAUAAUCCUCAAAUCUUAAUUCUCUUAUGCUGUUCAUUUUACUACAUUAUCUUUGAUACAUUUAAACCCUAUGUAACAAUGCUCAACCAUCACCAACAAAAAGUUUGAUGUAUGUACACUUGGUGCAUGUUGGGUACACAACACUCGAUAGGACUUAAUAGUAUAAUAAACAAGAUUUUAGCUUAUUUUUCUCAGUACCAUCAAGAGCUAUCCAACCAUUUCUACCAAUCAUGCAGUCCGAGUUUAUCUGUUGUGCUCAUAAAUUCUCGUUGUCUGCAAUGCUUCAUAUGUACAAUUGAUAGCCUAUGAAUUUUCAUGAUUAUAAGGUUAAUUAGAAAACAUAACUUUUUCACCCAACUAUUUUUGUGUGUGUGAUAUUUCAGUGGCUUAUAAUUAUUUUAUUUUAAUUUUUAAUCCUUUCUUAUUGUCUUUGGGAGAUGGGGACGAUAUGGAGUUGGCUUAUCAUCUCCUUGUACAAAUUUGGACAAGAACCUGAAAUCUGGCUUUUGGGGAAUGGGAAAACAUUUGAACGUAGUUACUUGCCUUCCUAAGUGCCAUCUAGCAUUUCUUUUCGUACAGUUGAAUUUUGUGCAUGUUUGGCUAAUUUAAAAUUUUAAUUAUAUGUAAAUAGGUUAGUUUGAAUAAAUAAUCAUUUGUUUGUUAAAGUUAGAAAUAAGUUACUUGUUUUGAGAGUAACUUUUCAGUUCUACCUCACCGUCAAAAUAAGUAACUUUCUUUUCCUGCUUAGUAACAAAAUUAACUCAUCCGAAACAUGCUUGGAAGCAAAAGUUUCUUUAAAUAAGGCCCCGUUUGUUUCUCAUUUUUGUAAGAAUGAAAAUGAAAAAUAUAGUCGUUACGAACCCACACAAGAGAUAGAAAUUCAAAUUUGAUGGUUUGAUGUGAUGGAUAACGGUCAUAUUUUUUAUUUUAAUGGGAAAAGAAUAAGAAACAAACGAGGGCUAAAUAUAACUUAGAAAACAGACAAACAUGCAUGUUGUACAUGUUUGACAUUUUGUGAGCUCUAUAUAUGUAAAUAGGCUAGUUUGAAUGGAUAAUCUUUUGUUUGUUAAAGUUAGAAAUAAGUUACUUGUUUUGAGAGUAACUUUUCAGUUCUACCUCACCGUCAAAAUAAGUACUUUCUUUUCUUGCUUAGUAACAAAAGUAACUCAUCAAAACAUGCUUGGAAGCAAAUGUUUCUUUAAAUAAAUAGGACUUAGAAGACAGACAAACAUACUUGUUGUACAUGUUAACAAUUUGUGAGCUCCUUUUUUGUGAAUGUAUAUUUUUGUUGUAGCCACGAAUGAGUCAUUUUGUACAUUUCUCCCAUUUUUGUUGGUUAUUCUCGCAUUUGUAGAGCAUUUUCAAUAGACUCGUUAAAUAUGAAAUACUCUUUAUUUUAAAAAGUCAACCCUUAAAAUCAUGUUCCAAAAAACUCUUUAAAUUAACAUUUUAAUUUGGAGAGCGAAACUCACUCUCUAUAAUUAAAUGCAUUAGAAGUGUUUCAAUUUCAAUGUAAGAAAAUAAUAAAAUAAUCUAAAGAAAAGCUAAUUAAAAUAAAAGAUAGAGAAAAAUAAUAAAUAUUUUUGGGGAGUAGUAAAAUUAAGUGUUAAAUAUGAAGAGCCUAUUGGAGUACUUUAAAAUUUUAACUCUAUAAAUUUAUAUAUACUCUUCAAAUGAUAGAAUAUGCUCUUUAUAAAUAGAAAGGCUCUUAGAGAUACUUAAUUAUCCCUGGAAAAAAGGAUUGUUAUGCUACCAGCCACUACGUGAUUUGUCUAUUUCCCACGUCUAUGAUUGCAAUUUUAGCUCGUUGCAUAAAAGUUCUAUAAACUUAUUUUAGAACGGUUCUUUGCAUUUAAUUCUCUACAUAAUUUUUUGGGAUAUUUUUCUCCUUAUUUGAUGUUUAUAUCCACAUGAUAUAUGAAAAUCAAUGUGAAACCAUGUUUAUCUCAAUUCUAUAAUCAAGUGACUUGCAGGAAUGGGAUCAAUUAUUCACUCAACUCAUUUUUUUGGCUUUCAUCUAGUUGCUUGGAAUUCCCUGAUCAUCGCUUAUGUUUUCUCUGGUUUGCUCAGAACUAGGUCUCUGUGUGCUGCGAUAAGAGACUUAAGGUUGAAGAUGGACUAAGUGAUUGAUCAACGAUCUUGGACUUCCCAUUAGAUUUAUGUGAUUUUCCUUUUUAUUUAAAGGAAAUAAAUGUCUACAAUUUUGUGUAACACAUAUUGAUGAAAACCUUGGAUUGGUAUUUCUUUGUUGUCAUCUUAAAUAGAGAGAUUUCAGUUCUUGCUUAUUUUCAUGAAUAAUCUUGUGAGCUCUAAUUCAGUAAUUGAGCAUAUUCACUGCUAACAUCAAUGAAGUAGUUUAUAUUUUAGCUACCUCCCAUAAGAGCUUGGAUUGUGUCUUAAUCGACUCUCAUUGUGAUUGAUCAUCCUCUCAGACCAAUUAUCAACUGGGACACCCAUUUUAGAUUUUAGAAAUCUCGGCAUCAUUAUAAUUAUAUUUUCAGCUUCGUUUUCAAAGUUCAGUGGAUCCUUUUAAUUAUUUAAAGCUUGUUAUCAUGAACUUAUCAAUCGUGUGACUUUAUCGUUUCACAAUUUUUUGCCCCUUUCUCCNACGAUCUCGGAGGGCCCAACUGGUUGGAAGGAUUUGAGGGUUUUGAAGAUCUUUGGGAGCUCAUUUUUAAUGAAAUUUUUGGUCAAAAGUCUCGAAACAAAUUCGAUGGGAGAUUUUUCUGCUUCUCCUCCAAUCAGAUCUAAAAUUCAUAAAAAUGAAAAUUCCAAAUUCAUAAAAUUGGAUUUGGCUUUAGGAUUGGAGAAGAAGGGAAGUGUGGCGCAAAUUCUUGUAAUGACUGGAGGUUGAGACGGUGGUGCUGGCUGUGGCGAUGGAUGGUGAUGGUGGUGGUUUUUGGGGCUCUGGGAUUGGGGAAGAAGGAAAGGGUGGUGGGUGGUUUUAUAUUUUGAUUUUUGAUUUUUUUUAAUUUAAUUAUUAAUAAAUAUUAUAAUUGUCUUUUUUGUUAAAAAAUGUAAAGUUACAAUAUUAACCUUCAAAAAUCAGUCAAAAUUUUGGUCAAUGUCAAGUUUGGGGUCAACUAACUAUUUUGAUGGUCAAACUAAUGGUUUUUGUCAAUUUAGACUCCGGGUGCGCAUUUUUUGAAGGUUUGAUAUCUCCGGUGGCACAAAUUAAAGGUUUUGGCAAAGUCUGUUAAUAAACGAAAAAUUUGGUACCUCAGAUGCAAUUUUCCCAAAAAAUUAUGUUCUGGCGAAUCCAACGCAGGCGGUCGAGGGGUUCGCCAGGCGCUAGAUCCGCCGGUGAUUAUAAGGUUAAUUAGAAAACAUAACUUUUUCACCCAACUAUUUUUGUGUAUGUAAUAUUUCAGUGGGUUAUAAUUAUUGUAUUUUAAUUUUUAAUCCUUUCUUAUUGCCUUUUGGGAGAUGGGUAGGGCUGGGCAAAACUCCCGAACCGAACCCGACGGUUCUUCUCAAGUUAAAUACCCGAACGGGUAUUUGAAUCAGGAAUCGACGGGUAUGGUUCGGUUCUCGGUUCUAGGUCAAGAUCCGAAGAACCGAAUAAGAACCGAAUCUUCAUCAUUUUUUUAAUUAAUUUAUUUUAAAUAAAUAAAUUAUUUUAUUUUUUCUAAAUAAAUUUGUUAACUAGUUAAUUUAGUUCAAACCACAAAAUAUGAUUUUCCUAUUUCUAAUAUUCAGUUCAAAAUUGACUUAAUCAAAUUGACCUCAAUUUUAUCCAAAUCUGUUAUUCUACUGUAGUGUCGUUUCUACCGGAGAAAAUCAAAUUAAAACCCUACAACAUCUCUCUUAAUUAUUUUGAGCUCGUUAUCUUUCUCUUUCUGUGAUUUUAAUAAUCAAAUUUAUGAAAAAUUCAGCAAAGAGAGACGUGAAACACAUAAAAUUGAACUACGUUAUUUUGUAAGAGCUAAUAUUAAACAUAUCAUUACUUAAAUUAACGUAACUUUGUAUAUAUUAAAAAAUUUAAUUAUAAUACGGAACCAAAUGGAACCGAACCGGACCGAACGGAAUCGAACCCGAACGGUUCCGUAAUUAAAUUUGGAACCAACGGUUCCACUUACUAAAUACCCGAAAAUUUCUGAACCGAAUCAAACCGGACUAUGUCCAGCCCUAGAGAUGGGGAUGAUAUGGAGUUGGCUUAUUAUCUCCUUGUACAAAUUUAGACAAGAACCUGAAAUCUGGCUUUUGGGGAAAUAGGAAAACAUUUGAACGUUGUUACUUGCCUUCCUAAGUGCCAUCUAGCAUUUAUUUUCGUAUAGUUGAAUUUUGUGCUUGUUUGGCUAAUUUAAAAUUUUAAUUAUAUGUAAAUAGGUUAGUUUGAAUAAAUAAUCAUUUUUUUGUUAAAGUUAGAAAUAAGUUACUUGUUUUGAGAGUAACUUUUCAGUUCUAUCUCACCGUCAAAAUAAGUAACUUUCUUUUCCUGCUUAGUAACAAAAUUAACUCAUCCGAAACAUGCUUGGAAGCAAAAGUUUCUAUAAAUAAGGCCCCGUUUGUUUUUCAUUUUUGUAAGAAUGAGAAUAAAAAAUAUAGUCAUUAUGGACCCCACACAAGAGAUAGAAAUUCAAAUUUGGUGGUUUGAUGUGAUGAAUAACGGUCAUAAUUUUCAUUUUAAUGGGAAAAGAAUGGGAAACAAACGGGGCUAAAUAUAACUUAGAAAACAGACAAACAUGCAUGUUGUACAUGUUUGACAAUUUGUGAGCUCUAAAUAUGUAAAUAGGUUAGUUUGAAUGGAUAAUCUUUUGUUUGUUAAAGUUAGAAAUAAGUUACUUGUUUUGAGAGUAACUUUUCAGUUCUACCUUAUCGUCAAAAUAAGUACUUUCUUUUCCUGCUUGGUAACAAAAGUAACUCAUGAAAACAUGCUUGGAAGCAAAUGUUUCUUUAAAUAAAUAUAACUUAGAAGACAGACAAACAUGCUUGUUGUACAUGUUGACAAUUUGUGAGCUCCUUUUUUGUGAAUGUAUAUUUUUGUUGUAGCCACGAAUGAGUCAUUUUGUACAUUUCUCCCAUUUUUGUUGGUUAUUCUCGCAUUUUUUAGAGCAUUUUCAAUAGACUCGUUUAACGAAAUACUCUUUAUUUUAAAAAGUCAACCCUUAAAAUCAUGUUCCAAAAAACUCAUUAAAUUAACAUUUUAAUUUGGAGAGCGAAACUCAUUCUCUAUAAUUAAAUGUAUUAGAAGUGUUUCAAUUUCAAUGUAAGAAAAUAAUAAAAUAAUCUAAAGAAAAACUAAUUAAAAUAAAAGAUAGAGAAAAAUAAUAAAUAUUUUUGGGGAGUUGUAAAAUUAAGUGUUAAAUAUGAAAAGCCUAUUGGAGUACUUUAAAAUUUUAACUCUAUAAAUUUAUAUAUACUCUUCAAAUGAUAGAAUAUGCUCUUUAUAAAUAGAAAGGCUCUUAGAGAUACUUAAUUAUCCCUGGAAAAAAGGAUUGUUACGCUACCAGCCACUACGUGAUUUGUCUAUUUCCCACGUCUAUGAUUGCAAUUUUAGCUCGUUGCAUAAAAGUUCUAUAAACUUAUUUUAGAACGGUUCUUUGCAUUUAAUUCUCUACAUAAUUUUUUGGGAUAUUUUUCUCCUUAUUUGAUGUUUAUAUCCACAUGAUAUAUGAAAAUCAAUGUGAAACCAUGUUUAUCUCAAUUCUAUAAUCAAGUGACUUGCAGGAAUGGGAUCAAUUGUUCACUCAACUCAUUUUUUUGGCUUUCAUCUAGUUGCUUGGAAUUCCCUGAUCAUCGCUUAUGUUUUCUCUGGUUUGCUCAGAACUAGGUCUCUGUGUGCCGCGAUAAGAGACUUAAGGUUGAAGAUGGACUAAGUGAUUGAUCAACGAUCUUGGACUUCCCAUUAGAUUUAUGUGAUUUUCCUUUUUAUUUAAAGGAAAUAAAUGUCUACAAUUUUGUGUAACACAUAUUGAUGAAAACCUUGGAUUGGUAUUUCUUUGUUGUCAUCUUAAAUAGAGAGAUUUCAGUUCUUGCUUAUUUUCAUGAAUAAUCUUGUGAGCUCUAAUUCAGUAAUUGAGCAUAUUCACUGCUAACAUCAAUGAAGUAGUUUAUAUUUUAGCUACCUCCCAUAAGAGCUUGG